Cairina moschata (Muscovy duck) is the source of this 1508-nucleotide long non-coding RNA. NCBI's taxonomy places the organism in Eukaryota, Metazoa, Chordata, Aves, Anseriformes, Anatidae. The record is from Ensembl.
ACAACUGCACUCAUUGUGGUUCAUGCUUACACAGCUCUUGGCAGAGAAUGAACAGCUCUAAUCUGGAAAUUGUUUUGUAGGGACUUUCCACACACCACAUUCUCUGUUUAAAAAAAGAGGGAAAUCAUAGUUCUCGCAGCACUGAAUGACCGAUUUCUCUCCUUAUAGCCUUUUUUAUUUAUUUAAAAACACUAUGGAAAGUGUGAGUAUUCAAAGGCAGAGACUGCAAUGCUGCCAUUUGUAAUGUCAGUGCUAGGUUAAAGGUUGGACCAGAUGAUCUUGGAGGUCUUUUCUAACCUGAAUGAUUCUAUGGUUAUGUGAUUCUAAUGCGUUUUGUUAGAGCAUGUGAGGCCAUGAAAGUAUUUUGCUGCUAGAAGCAAAUGUGUACUACUCUUCCCUUUGCAAUUUAAAUACAACACUAUGUUCUUCAGAGCCUUAAUAAAUAAAUAAAUGAAAAUAAAACCCACCAAACUAAUGUUAACCAAAACAAUGUUAUAUUUUAAUAAUCGAAGAAAUUCUAAAGUAUUUCCAGCAAAAGUAAUCCUCGACUCCUGGAACUAAGAACAGCCAAAAAGCACCCCGCAGCCAGCCGCAUCCAGCACCUUUCCGCAGGGGAGCAGAGGAGGGGGAUGCCCGCGGUGCAGCCCCCGUCCCUGCCUCCUCUGCCCCUGAACGAGCCGCUGGGCAAUGCGGGGAGGGCAGCGAACUGGGGGAGCCCCCUCACCCUUCCUCGCCCCCUUCCUCCACCUGGGCGCCGUCAGCGGCCGCCCAAGCCCCCGGGGACCGUGCCGCGGCGCUCGGCCGUCGUGGCCCGGCACCGGCCGCCUCUCCCGGUCCGUCGGAGGAGGAGGAGAAGGAAGAGAAGGAGGAGGAGCCGUGGACACCUCCCCUGGCACUCGCCGCACUCCGAGCCGGCAGGCCGGGGGACAGCGCGCAAGGCGGCCGUGCGAACCGCACCGAAGCCCCCGCAGAUUUUUUUGGCCGCAAACCCGCGUUCAGCGAAGCCAAGCCCCCCGAGCCCCCCCGGACCCCCAACCCGUCCUCCCUUUCCCACCGGGGCUCCCGCAGCCGCACCCCUCCCCGCCUCCAGCCCUGCAGCGCUGCGCACCCGCGGAGCCCCCCGCAGCCCCCGGCACGGCUCGGCACGGCUCGGCACGGCUCGGCACGGCUCGGCAUGGCUCGGCACGCACUUACUCCGCGGGGCCUCCCGGGUGGAGGCUCGGGCCCGGCGGCUCCCCAGGCGCGUUGCUAGAAAAAAACAGCGAUGGGGUUUUACACUUUUCAUGAUGCAGGCCGACGGGACCACGUUCAAAAGCACGGGAGUCAAAAAAACAAAGGCGGCGAGGAUGCUGGAGGUGGUGUGGGUGAGUACCCUGGGCGGGCACCGCGUGUGCAGAGGAUGCGACCAGCUCUGGGGCCCGAGGUAUGGCCGGGGCAGAGGCUGGGGGCGACCUCCAGGGGCGAUCCAUCAACAGCAGCCCAUCCAGCGUCUCCCGCCCCCUCACUAA